Cyprinodon tularosa is the source of this 380-nucleotide long non-coding RNA. RefSeq lists it as uncharacterized. Lineage: Eukaryota; Metazoa; Chordata; Actinopteri; Cyprinodontiformes; Cyprinodontidae. The transcript has 3 exons. The record is from RefSeq and is a predicted model, not a curated record.
GGUCUGGAUUUAGUCUCUGCAUUACAAUGAAGAUCCUGGUAUUGGUAAUGCUCUGCUGUGCAAACAUCAUCCUUGAGUGCUGGGUAUGGUUCUCAAUUAAAUUGUCAAAGAACCCAGAAGAUGUUAACACAGAGUGAUGGAGGUUCAGUCACCAUGAGCCACGGAGAGAAGAUUGCAAGAUACCCCGGAAAGGAUUUCUUUUUUCUCUUUUCUUUUCGAUUUUCUUUUUGAUUUCCCACUAUAAAGUUAUAAUUUUCUUUAGGUAUUUGUAGUCUUGAAUUUUACUUAGUCAUCAAUGCAUGUAAAUAUUCCAAGUAAAUAUUGUUUAAAAGAAUUACUAAAAAACAUUGUAUAAACAGUUGAUUUUAUUUUAUUAUUAU